UACGUAGGGGCCGAGCGUUGUCCGGAGUUACUGGGCGUAAAGCGCGCGCAGGCGGCCGCGCAAGCCCGGCGUGAAAGCCCCCGGCUCAACCGGGGAGGGUCGUCGGGGACUGCGCGGCUUGAGGGCGGCAGGGGUCGGUGGAAUGCCCGGUGUAGUGGUGAAAUGCGUAGAGAUCGGGCGGAACACCCGUGGCGAAGGCGGCCGACUGGGCCGGCCCUGACGCUGAGGCGCGAAGGCGUGGGGAGCAAACAGG
RNAcentral lists this unclassified non-coding RNA (253 nucleotides) under uncultured Thermomicrobiales bacterium. Its description in RNAcentral is "contains 16S-23S intergenic spacer region". It matches the Rfam family "Bacterial small subunit ribosomal RNA", at positions 524 to 776 of the family's 1533-position model. The record is from RNAcentral. Lineage: Bacteria; Pseudomonadati; Thermomicrobiota; Thermomicrobia; Thermomicrobiales.